CCUACGGGCGGCUGCAGUAGGGAAUAUUGGACAAUGGAGGAGACUCUGAUCCAGCCAUCCCGCGUGAAGGAUUAAGGUCCUAUGGAUUGUAAACUUCUUUUCUUUGGGAAUAAAAUCUCCGAUUCCUCGGAGCUUGAAGGUACCAGGGGAAUAAGCACCGGCUAACUCCGUGCCAGCAGCCGCGGUAAUACGGAGGGUGCAGGCGUUACCCGGAUUCACUGGGGUUUAGGUGGUCUUAGAUGGUUUUGUAGAAAGCCUACAGCUUAACUGUAGAAUUGCCAUUGAUACUGCUUAACUUGAAUCAAGUCGAAGUGGAUGGAAUAGAUCAUGUAGCGGUGAAAUGCUUAGAUAUGAGUUAGAACACCAAUUGCGAAGGCAGUUCACUAGGCUUGUAUUGACACUGAGGCACGAAAGCGUGGGGAUCAAACAGGAUUAGAUACCCGAGUAGUC
This 450-nucleotide ribosomal RNA is filed under the name uncultured bacterium. Its description in RNAcentral is "partial 16S ribosomal RNA". It matches the Rfam family "Bacterial small subunit ribosomal RNA", at positions 338 to 795 of the family's 1533-position model. The record is from RNAcentral.